GAUUUCUGGACUCAAGAAUUUGGCCGGCCACGGUUUCGUGUGUUAGUGCUUUGUUCUGUGUUCAUCCUUCCAAUCGCUCUUGGCUCUUCUUCAUUGAUUGGUCAGGAGUAUUGGAUCUUUUACUUUGAAAAAAUUAGAGUGUUUCAAGCAGGCUUUAUGCUAUGAAUACAUUAGCAUGGAAUAAUAAUUUAGGACUUCGGUUCUAUUUUGUUGGUUUCUAGGACUGAAGUAAUGAUUGAUAGGGAUAGUUGGGGGUGCUAGUAUUCAGCGGCCAGAGGUGAAAUUCUCGGAUUCGCUGAAGACUAACUUAUGCGAAAGCAUU
Molecule: ribosomal RNA, 322 nt
Filed under: uncultured Sandona
Lineage: Eukaryota; Cercozoa; Glissomonadida
Description: bacterial SSU rRNA
Rfam family: Eukaryotic small subunit ribosomal RNA (bases 61-322)
Source: RNAcentral